This 253-nucleotide ribosomal RNA is filed under the name uncultured bacterium. RNAcentral describes it as "partial 16S ribosomal RNA". It matches the Rfam family "Bacterial small subunit ribosomal RNA", at positions 524 to 776 of the family's 1533-position model. The record is from RNAcentral.
UACGGAGGGGGCAAGCGUUGUUCGGAGUCACUGGGCGUAAAGGGCGCGUAGGCGGUGUAUCAAGUCAGGCGUGAAAGCCCCGGGCUUAACCUGGGAAUUGCGCUUGAUACUGAUACGCUUGAGAACGGGAGAGGAUGGCGGAAUUCCCAGUGUAGCGGUGAAAUGCGCAGAUAUUAGGAAGAACACCGGUGGCGAAGGCGGCUCUCUGGAACGGUACUGACGCUGAGACGCGAAAGCGUGGGGAGCAAACAGG